This 253-nucleotide ribosomal RNA is filed under the name uncultured bacterium. RNAcentral's name for it is "partial 16S ribosomal RNA". It matches the Rfam family "Bacterial small subunit ribosomal RNA", at positions 524 to 776 of the family's 1533-position model. The record is from RNAcentral.
UACGGAGGAUCCGAGCGUUAUCCGGAUUCACUGGGCUUAAAGGGUGCGUAGGUGGGCAGGUAAGUCAGCGGUGAAAUCCCCGAGCUUAACUUGGGAACUGCCAUUGAUACUAUCUGUCUUGAAUACCUUGGAGGUGAGCGGAAUAUGUCAUGUAGCGGUGAAAUGCUUAGAUAUGACAUAGAACACCAAUUGCGAAGGCAGCUCACUACACGGUCAUUGACACUGAGGCACGAAAGCGUGGGGAUCAAACAGG